CCCUUAGAUGUCCUGGGCCGCACGCGCGCUACACUGAUGCAUUCAACGAGUGACCUUAGCCGAGAGGCCUGGGCAAUCUUUUGAACGUGCAUCGUGAUAGGGAUAGAUUAUUGCAAUUAUUAAUCUUGAACGAGGAAUUCCUAGUAAACGCAGAUCAUCAUUCUGCAUUGAUUACGUCCCUGCCCUUUGUACACACCGCCCGUCGCACCUACCGAUUGGAUGGUCCGGUGAAGCCUCGGGAUUGUGGUUCUUGCCGCUUUAUUGUGGCGUGACCGCGAGAACUUGUCUAAACCUUAUCAUCUAGAGGAAGGUGAAGUCGUAACA
RNAcentral lists this ribosomal RNA (324 nucleotides) under uncultured eukaryote. RNAcentral's name for it is "partial 18S ribosomal RNA". It matches the Rfam family "Eukaryotic small subunit ribosomal RNA", at positions 1470 to 1796 of the family's 1831-position model. The record is from RNAcentral.